Molecule: ribosomal RNA, 951 nt
Filed under: Triticum aestivum (bread wheat)
Lineage: Eukaryota; Viridiplantae; Streptophyta; Magnoliopsida; Poales; Poaceae
Description: partial small subunit ribosomal RNA
Source: RNAcentral
AUGUCCGGCGAGACUGAGGUGGCAGUCGGAGGAGCCCGGCGAUGCUGGCUGGUCGGCCUGGGCAAGCUCGGCCCGAUGCAGAGGAGAGCCAUGGCGGCUGGCAGCGGGGGCGCCUACAUAGGGCGGGGGCCUGAGCCCCUGACGGCGACGCCGUCCGAGCAGCCGCCUUCCUGCCGGACCUCCUCGUUCCUCCCUGGCGUCCCUCUGCGCGCCGCCACCUUCAAGCACGGCCGCCGUUCGCCUCCUCACGGGAUCAAAUCGCCAUUGAACUCGAGCUCCUUCAAUUUUGGAAGGUUGACAAUGCCGAGGAGACUCUCCACAGUGCCCCUUGUGAAGGACCAGAUGAUUUUCUCCAGCUUGGGAGCAGAUCCACUGGCAAACUCUAUCUUGGUGAUAGAUGAACCGUCGACAAUAAGAAGGUUGAGCCUUGGGAACUCAUCUUUGUUGAACAAAAUCUCGUUUUCAACACAAGCUUUCUCCUUCAGCACUAGGCAGCGCAUAUACUGUAUCUUGGCAAACAUUUUUAGAUCAUCUUUGCUCAGUUUGGUACCACAAAGAGUCACCUUGGAAACUUUCUCGGCCUUGUCAAAUAAUGAAAGCUUAUUGUUGUUGUUCAACUCGACUUCCUUCAGUUCUGGAAGGUCUUCGACUCCAGAAAGAGAUUGUAUGAUAUCUGUGGAGCAUAAAAUGAUCUUCUCGAGCUUAAGGGCUGCUCCAUCUUCAAACAAGAUGUCAGUCAUGUUGGAUCCCUCAACAAGAAAGCACUUGAGAUUUUUGAAUUUGUCCUUCUUGAAGGUGAGCUUGCCAUUGGUGUAUGCUUUGUCCUGGAGCCUGAGACAAACAAUAUUGGGAAGCUCGUUGAGGACCCUUAGAUCAUCCUGCUUCAGUCGGGUUCCAGUUAGAGUUAUCUUCGCAAGUUGGAAUUCGUCACUAUGUUUGAUCAGCAGUUGA